AUGGCUGCCAGCUCGUUCUCGGCGCCGGCGCAGGCGGUGAAGGGCGUGGCGAAAAUGUUGGCUCACCGCCGCCAGGCCGUGGUUGGGUUCCUGUUUGCUCUCAUCGUCAUCCUCGUGCUCCACACCACCGUGGUGUUUGGCCCGUCCCGGUCCACGAAUGACAUUGUCGUUCUGCAGUCAACAUCGGGCGAGCAAAAUGCCAGGACCUCUUCUCCUCCAGCGUUUUUUUUGACGAAAACAGAUGUUCAAAUACAUGACAUAGAUAACGGGCAGAAGGACGACGCAGCCAAGAACGAUGAGGAAAGAAGGGACUAG
RNAcentral lists this ribosomal RNA (315 nucleotides) under Triticum aestivum (bread wheat). RNAcentral describes it as "partial small subunit ribosomal RNA". Lineage: Eukaryota; Viridiplantae; Streptophyta; Magnoliopsida; Poales; Poaceae. The record is from RNAcentral.